CUGGGAGGGCCCUAACACAUGCCAAGUCGAGCGGAGAGUGGAGCUUGCUCCAUGAUUCAGCGGCGGACGGGUGAGUAAUGCCUAAGAAUCUGCCUGGUAGUGGGGGAUAACGUUCUCAAAGAACGCUAAUACCGCAUACGUCCUAAGGAGAAAGUGGGGGAUCUUCCGACCUCACGCUAUCAAAUGAACCUAAGUCGGAUUACUAGUUGGGGGGGUAAUGGCCCACCCAGGCGACG
RNAcentral lists this ribosomal RNA (236 nucleotides) under Metapseudomonas otitidis. RNAcentral's name for it is "Pseudomonas otitidis partial 16S ribosomal RNA". It matches the Rfam family "Bacterial small subunit ribosomal RNA", at positions 47 to 278 of the family's 1533-position model. Lineage: Bacteria; Pseudomonadati; Pseudomonadota; Gammaproteobacteria; Pseudomonadales; Pseudomonadaceae. The record is from RNAcentral.